GAGUCUGAGCCUAUAAUUGCCAAAAACGCAUUUGUUACUCCUGGACAACCUUCUACACCUGAAGCAACAGAUAUCACCAAAACAUCAAUGCAGAUUGUUUGGAAUAAACCUGGUGUGGAUGGUGGUAGCAUGGUUACAGGAUACUAUCUGGAGAGACGUGACAAGAGGAGCCUGCGCUGGGUAAAAAUAUACAAAGAUCCCAUUAGUGACACCAAAGCAAAGGUCCAUCACCUCACAGAAGGAAAUGAAUAUCAGUAUCGUGUGUGUGCAAUCAAUAAAGCUGGGAAGGUCCAUACUCAGACGUUUCUGACCUCUACAAAGCUGCUGACCCAGUUGACCCACCAUAUGAACCAACUAAGCUCAAGGUAGUGGACUCAACUAAAACAUCAAUCACACUUGGAUGGUCAAAGCCAGAGUAUGAUGGAGGCAGUGAAAUCACCAGCUAUGUUGUAGAAAAAAGAGUUGGUGAGGAAGGGGAGUGGACAGUGAUUAGCCAUAAAGGAGAAGUGAGAACCACAGAGUAUGUCGCCUCAGAUCUUAAACCAGAUAUUGACUACUACUUCCGUGUAUCUGCUGUUAAUUGUGCUGG
This is a long non-coding RNA of Puntigrus tetrazona (Sumatra barb), 589 nucleotides long. RefSeq lists it as uncharacterized. The transcript has 3 exons. The record is from RefSeq and is a predicted model, not a curated record. Lineage: Eukaryota; Metazoa; Chordata; Actinopteri; Cypriniformes; Cyprinidae.